This is a long non-coding RNA of Daphnia pulicaria, 785 nucleotides long. RefSeq lists it as uncharacterized. The record is from RefSeq and is a predicted model, not a curated record. The transcript has 6 exons. NCBI's taxonomy places the organism in Eukaryota, Metazoa, Arthropoda, Branchiopoda, Diplostraca, Daphniidae.
GGCAGUCGCGUUGGAUGUUGCCAGUGCGAAAUGAAGGACAGUCAAUCCAAAUUUGCCACCUUCAUUGAUGUCAACUUUGUCGCUUGCCAGAACUUUUUCGCCCGUCCCGACCCAACCGAAGGAGGUGGAAAAUCCAUCGCUGGAACAACCGGAACAACAACAACAGCAAUCGAUACAGCCGUUGCAGACGAGCCGGAGCGAUUCGAGUCUGAACGGGGAACGUUCGAAAUGAUUAGCGAGUCGGAAAAUGAGGGAGAGCAGCAGCAGACGCCAAAGGCUAACGUGGUGGCCCCUUUCGUCAGCCGACAGCCGGGCAAGAAAUUCCGCCACGUCCUGGAAAAAGAUUAUCCUCGAAUGGCAACCUGGAUUGUUUUCAACCGCCCAGGCGAAUGGAUACUAGUUUAAACAUUGGAAUUCCGCCAUUUUAUCGCUCGUUUUUUCUUUUUGGAGGAUGAAGACAGUUCCCAUACAGGCACUGAUCGCAACGGCAGCGAAUCGUUGGCGACAGUCGAGUCCUAUUCUGUUCCACCCCGAGGUUAUACUCCGGAUUUUGAAGCCCUCAUCAGAUCCAAUUCUUUGCUGCCACUUCAAAGGUUGCGGUUACCACCGUAACGAUUUCUAAUUUAAGAUAAUCUGAAAAUUGAUUGAUUUGAGGUGAAUCCUUCGCCGCUGUUUAAUAGCCUUUAUCCAUUCGUGAAACUGAAGAGAGAUUGCGGAAAUUCAAGACGCAUCAAUAAGUUAUUUUGUUGUAGAUAAAUUACAAGUGCAUAUCUGGGCUCCCUUCU